AGUCGAGCGGGGAAGGUAGCUUGCUACCUGACCUAGCGGCGGACGGGUGAGUAAUGCUUAGGAAUCUGCCUAUUAGUGGGGGACAACGUUCCGAAAGGAACGCUAAUACCGCAUACGCCCUACGGGGGAAAGCAGGAGAUCUUCGGACCUUGCGCUAAUAGAUGAGCCUAAGUCGGAUUAGCUAGUUGGUGGGGUAAAGGCCUACCAAGGCGACAAUCUGUAGCGGGUCUGAGAGGAUGAUCCGCCACACUGGGACUGAGACACGGCCCAGACUCCUACGGGAGGCAGCAGUGGGGAAUAUUGGACAAUGGGCGGAAGCCUGAUCCAGCCAUGCCGCGUGUGUGAAGAAGGCCUUUUGGUUGUAAAGCACUUUAAGCGAGGAGGAGGCUCCUUUAGUUAAUACCUAAAGAGAGUGGACGUUACUCGCAGAAUAAGCACCGGCUAACUCUGUGCCAGCAGCCGCGGUAAUACAGAGGGUGCGAGCGUUAAUCGGAUUUACUGGGCGUAAAGCGUGCGUAGGCGGCUUUUUAAGUCGGAUGUGAAAUCCCUGAGCUUAACUUAGGAAUUGCAUUCGAUACUGGAAAGCUAGAGUAUGGGAGAGGAUGGUAGAAUUCCAGGUGUAGCGGUGAAAUGCGUAGAGAUCUGGAGGAAUACCGAUGGCGAAAGCAGCCAUCUGGCCUAAUACUGACGCUGA
This 694-nucleotide ribosomal RNA is filed under the name uncultured bacterium. RNAcentral's name for it is "bacterial SSU rRNA". It matches the Rfam family "Bacterial small subunit ribosomal RNA", at positions 60 to 749 of the family's 1533-position model. The record is from RNAcentral.